Molecule: non-coding RNA, 68 nt
Organism: Podarcis lilfordi (Lilford's wall lizard)
Lineage: Eukaryota; Metazoa; Chordata; Lepidosauria; Squamata; Lacertidae
Source: the annotation of a GenBank genome assembly
GCAGCUCAGCUAAUAGAGCAUGAGGACUCUUAGUCUCAUGGUUGUGGGUUCAAGCCCCAUGCUGAGCA